UACGUAGGAUGCGAGCGUUAUCCGGAUUUAUUGGGUUUAAAGGGUGCGUAGGCGGGCUUUUAAGUCAGCGGUAAAAAUUCGGGGCUCAACCCCGUCCGGCCGUUGAAACUGGGGGCCUUGAGUGGGCGAGAAGAAGGCGGAAUGCGUGGUGUAGCGGUGAAAUGCAUAGAUAUCACGCAGAACCCCGAUUGCGAAGGCAGCCUUCCGGCGCCCUACUGACGCUGAGGCACGAAAGUGCGGGGAUCGAACAGG
RNAcentral lists this ribosomal RNA (252 nucleotides) under uncultured bacterium. Its description in RNAcentral is "partial 16S ribosomal RNA". It matches the Rfam family "Bacterial small subunit ribosomal RNA", at positions 524 to 776 of the family's 1533-position model. The record is from RNAcentral.